AGCUGUGGCGGGGUGCUUACAAUGCAAGUCGAGCGCUGAAGCCUUCGGGUGGAUGAGCGGCGAACGGGUGAGUAACACGUGGGUGACCUGCCCUCAGCUCUGGGAUAAGCCUGGGAAACUGGGUCUAAUACCGGAUAUGACUUCCUGCCGCAUGGUGGGUUGUGGAAAGUUUUUCGGCUGAGGAUGGGCCCGCGGCCUAUCAGCUUGUUGGUGGGGUGAUGGCCUACCAAGGCGACGACGGGUAGCCGGCCUGAGAGGGCGACCGGCCACACUGGGACUGAGACACGGCCCAGACUCCUACGGGAGGCAGCAGUGGGGAAUAUUGCGCAAUGGGCGAAAGCCUGACGCAGCGACGCCGCGUGGGGGAUGACGGCCUUCGGGUUGUAAACCUCUUUCGCCAGGGACGAAGCUAACGUGACGGUACCUGGAUAAGAAGCACCGGCCAACUACGUGCCAGCAGCCGCGGUAAUACGUAGGGUGCGAGCGUUGUCCGGAAUUAUUGGGCGUAAAGAGCUCGUAGGCGGUGUGUCACGUCGGUCGUGAAAACCUGGGGCUUAACUCUGGGCUUGCGGUCGAUACGGGCAUCACUUGAGUUCGGCAGGGGAGACUGGAAUUCCUGGUGUAGCGGUGAAAUGCGUAAAAUUUU
RNAcentral lists this ribosomal RNA (646 nucleotides) under Pseudonocardia sp. EK-I82. RNAcentral describes it as "bacterial SSU rRNA". It matches the Rfam family "Bacterial small subunit ribosomal RNA", at positions 32 to 699 of the family's 1533-position model. The record is from RNAcentral. Lineage: Bacteria; Bacillati; Actinomycetota; Actinomycetes; Pseudonocardiales; Pseudonocardiaceae.